RNAcentral lists this transfer RNA (93 nucleotides) under Clostridioides difficile. RNAcentral describes it as "tRNA-Ala(agc)". Lineage: Bacteria; Bacillati; Bacillota; Clostridia; Peptostreptococcales; Peptostreptococcaceae. The record is from RNAcentral. RNAcentral also lists the same sequence under 1 other name.
GCCGGCCUGCUGCGUCGGGAUGACCGGUGCCGGUUAGCUCUUGGCGACAGGGUGUUCAGCGACACCACGACGUUCGUGCCGCCGAGCCGGCGC